This 346-nucleotide ribosomal RNA is filed under the name Streptomyces sp. RNAcentral's name for it is "bacterial SSU rRNA". It matches the Rfam family "Bacterial small subunit ribosomal RNA", at positions 975 to 1315 of the family's 1533-position model. The record is from RNAcentral. Lineage: Bacteria; Bacillati; Actinomycetota; Actinomycetes; Kitasatosporales; Streptomycetaceae.
CAAGGCUUGACAUACACCGGAAACUGGCAGAGAUGUCAGCCCCCUUGUGGUCGGUGUACAGGUGGUGCAUGGUUGUCGUCAGCUCGUGUCGUGAGAUGUUGGGUUAAGUCCCGCAACGAGCGCAACCCUUGUUCUGUGUUGCCAGCAUGCCUUUCGGGGUGAUGGGGACUCACAGGAGACUGCCGGGGUCAACUCGGAGGAAGGUGGGGAUGACGUCAAAUCAUCAUGCCCCUUAUGUCUUGGGCUGCACACGUGCUACAAUGGUCGGUACAAAGGGCUGCGAUGCCGUGAGGCGGAGCGAAUCCCAAAAAGCCGGCCUCAGUUCGGAUUGGGGUCUGCAACUCGA